This 253-nucleotide ribosomal RNA is filed under the name uncultured bacterium. RNAcentral's name for it is "partial 16S ribosomal RNA". It matches the Rfam family "Bacterial small subunit ribosomal RNA", at positions 524 to 776 of the family's 1533-position model. The record is from RNAcentral. RNAcentral also lists the same sequence under 1 other name.
CACGUAGGGCGCAAGCGUUGUCCGGAAUCAUUGGGCGUAAAGAGCUCGUAGGUGGUUUGUCACGUCUGCUGUGAAAACUCGGGGCUUAACCCCGAGCUUGCAGUGGAUACGGGCAGACUAGAGGUAGGUAGGGGAGAAUGGAAUUCCCGGUGUAGCGGUGAAAUGCGCAGAUAUCGGGAGGAACACCGGUGGCGAAGGCGGUUCUCUGGGCCUUACCUGACACUGAGGAGCGAAAGCGUGGGGAGCGAACAGG